Molecule: small nuclear RNA, 106 nt
Filed under: Catagonus wagneri (Chacoan peccary)
Lineage: Eukaryota; Metazoa; Chordata; Mammalia; Artiodactyla; Tayassuidae
Source: RNAcentral
GUGCUUGCGUCAGCAUCACAUAUACUAAAAUUGGAACAAUACAGAGAAGAUCAGCAUGGCCCUGAACAAGGAUGACAGACAAAUUUGUGAAGUGUUCCAUAUUUUU